RNAcentral lists this ribosomal RNA (105 nucleotides) under uncultured bacterium. RNAcentral's name for it is "partial 16S ribosomal RNA". It matches the Rfam family "Bacterial small subunit ribosomal RNA", at positions 1378 to 1482 of the family's 1533-position model. The record is from RNAcentral.
CCCUUGUACACACCGCCCGUCACACCAUGGGAGUCGUUUGCUCCAGAAGUGCCUACGCCAACCGCAAGGAGGCAGGGCCCCAAGGAGUGAACGGUAACUGGGGUG